Non-coding RNA from Elaeis guineensis (African oil palm), 2707 nucleotides. Lineage: Eukaryota; Viridiplantae; Streptophyta; Magnoliopsida; Arecales; Arecaceae. The record is from RefSeq and is a predicted model, not a curated record.
AACCAAUGGCAUGUCGGAGCAAGAAUCAAGAAUCUAGUGGGCAAUGCACAAAUUGCAGAUGCCAAUAAGACACUGUAAUCUUCGAUGCAGAUGGUGGAUAAUUUUCGAGCUUCACAGUCUGGUUCAUUGUUGAGAGGUAAAAUGGUUGUUGAGUUGGUUGCUCGUGAUAGCUUGAUGAUUCUCUCCAACCAGUUGCUCGCAGAACUAUGGCUAGUUCUCCAUUGCGGUCUUCCACAUUUUCUUUAUCGAGUACCGCCAUUAAUGCCUCUUAUCAUGCGCAUUUUAUGUGCCUAAUGCUAGUGCUCUUUAAUAAGUAAUAAUAUGAUAACAGGAGAACAGGAUACAUGUUGCAUGGUAACAUUUGCUACCCUGGUGAAAUUGCUGCCAACUUGUCGAUCAUCAACACACGCAUGCUGAUGUUUGGUAAAGAAACUAACAAUCAACAGCCUGUAAUUUAGGGGAAACUUGUCAGCGACUGGAGCCAUCUGAUGUCAAUGUAAGUGCAAUUCAUGCAGGUAACACGACAAUAUUGUUACCUAGGUUGCCUAGCAUCAUGAUGCUACCAUCUGUGUUGCAUCUAAGUCUCAUCCUCAUUGAAUGCUACUCAGUGGGAGCUACAACUCAUUGAACUCAUUUUGAAGUUAGAAGGCUCCGACAAUUGAGAUGUGUCUCCUAAUAUAUAAGAUGUCAAUUAUAAAUCCAUUUCUUGGGCAUGAUUUUGGUCUGCUGUGAUAAGGACACUGCAGCCUUUGAGAAUCAUCUUUGACAUCAUGUGUUCAGUGAUGCAUUGAGAAGUUAUUGUGGAGCAAAAUGUGAAUCUCAAAGUCUGCUGUGUUGCAGGUGGGCCCUAGCAGAAAUUUAGUUUCCUGUUCACCGUGCACAUAAACUGCAUGCACCUAAAUGUUGGUGAAAACAUGUUGACAAUCAUAAGAAACACAUGCUAAGCUGGCAGAAUGGCAGUAAUUUCAUGCAAUAGCACUUCAUGAUGUUACCUGCGCAGCAGGAGUCAAAUAUUAAUGUGAAUAAAUGUUUCAACUUGCCAGGGAUUGAGCUUCUUUCUGGAAGAGCAUUAUGAAGAGGAUCCUGCAAAACUUCUUGAAACAUAUCUCUAUGAAGCCAUCUAGAAGAGUGACCCUUCAGGGUCCCAGUGGAAGCAAAGGGUAUGUCCAACUAGGCAAAAUGGUUAAAGGCACAUUCCCGACUGCUGGAUGGCCAGAGUUUGUCAAAGACCACUCAUUAAAGGAGCAUGAAUUCCUGUUUCCAAUCUGAUGGAAUCAUGCACUUCACUAUUUUCAUUUUUGAUACAACUGCAUGUGAGAGAGAAGUUGUGUUCACAGUAAGACCUCAUAGAACUUCCACACCCAGCAAUCGGAGGAAAGAAAGGGGUUACCACCAAGGAUUUCCUUGGAUGCUCGCUACUAUGUUAAGAAUGAAGCAAGUGAAAGAAGAUGCAUGUCACCUCGUAUACCUUGCUGGGAUGUCAAACUUAAAACAGAAGAUAGUGUCCUCCCAAUUUGUAUGAUUGGUCCAUCCACCAGACAAUAUAAAUGCUAUGCCUCGAGAAGACAACAUGUGACAACAGAAGAAGACCAAAAGAAAGGGAAGCUGCCAACUCUUUCACCUCUAUAUUCCCUUAUAUGAUUAUGCGCAUGACAGCAAUGAAUGUUUACAGGCCAUAUAUGCUGGCGAGUCAUAUACAUUUUACUCUACAUAUGUAUUAAAAAUAAAUGAGCACAUAUUUUGCAUGAAUGCAGGCUGUUGCCCUGUACUAAAUCUAUUUUCACUCAAGGGCAGGUGUUGUUUAGGGCUUAACCUUCCAUUAUAGACUUAUAGUACAUAUAUCUUUAUGUUCUUAUUCUGUUCUCAGAAUAUGGGACAUUUACUUUUCAAUAUUUCCAGUUGACGGGUCAGGUGCCUUUAGAUAAAUUUUGUUUGCUUGUCUUCCUUUUAUUUUCCAUGCCGUACUCUCCUCCUUUCAACUAGCAUGGCACAGCGUUCUCUGUUUGUACUUAUUUUUCACUAUGUUUAAUUUUCCUCAACACUAUCGAAGGAAAGCUGUUGGAAGCAUUGCUGUAAUAUCGGAUUCAUGACUUCAUGUCACGUUUAAAAAAAAGAAAUUGGCUUGUCUAAUUGACUGCUUCCCUGUACAAUGUUGUGGCAGUUAAGAAUUCCAAGAACAUUGAUUUUGAUUUGUUAUUAACUAAAUGCAGUGCUUCCCUAUUUGGUUUUCACAUGCAGAUCUUUCUUGUAGAAGAACUGAUGUGGUCCUCCCGAGACCAAACUGGGAAGGCUUGGUUGGUGGUUUGCAUUCCAAGCUCAAGGGACCUUUUAUCUGGAGGUUGGUCUGCGUUCACACGUGUCAACAACCUGGAGGAAGGAGAUUAUUGUGUUUUCGAGCUUGUGGGUCCAGUUGAAAUGCAUGUCCACAUUUUCAGGGUGGCUGUGGAGAUCACUACUUUGAUUAGGAUGCCAGGGAUGCAGAAGAUGUGUUAGCUUCAUGGAGCUUGUCCACUAUGGAUGAAAUAUAACGGAGUCAAUGUAGGAAAGGAUGAAGAAAAUUAUCAUUUGAUAUGUAUUCUCUAGCAUCUUUCCUCACAAGUUGCUUCUUUGGUUGGACAUGCUUGCAUAUAUUACCAACUCAAGCUUAAUGUAACCAGUAUCCUUGCCUUUGAUCCCCAUGUUAAUGUUCAUGCUGAUUUUUUUCCCC